RNAcentral lists this long non-coding RNA (1677 nucleotides) under Homo sapiens (human). Its description in RNAcentral is "non-protein coding lnc-ZKSCAN8-3:1". Lineage: Eukaryota; Metazoa; Chordata; Mammalia; Primates; Hominidae. The record is from RNAcentral.
AGUUUCUCUGUUAUGUUCCAUUGCUUUAUUUGGCUCUCCCUUCAUCAAUACCAGAUUUUCCUAAUUAUCGUAGCUUUACAUUGUUCUGGUAUCCAGUGGAGCAAAUCAUCCUACUUGAAGAGUCAGACUCCAUGCCAAAUUUCUAUGUGUCAUUUUUCAGGCCCAACCAUAGGCAGUUACAAAGGCCGUACACCUCAUGAAGGAAAGCUACCCUCCCCAUGCCAGACUUGGGGCACAGCCAAUGCAUUGCAGUCUCUGAAGAAAGUUGCAGUCAAGGACCCAGACCCCCGGCCCAGCCAUGCUCUUAGGCAUAUCUGCAUUCCUAGUCCAAGCACCUCUGUUUAGAGGUCUCUUUAUUGGUGGCCUCCUCUAAACAAUUCUGAGACCAUUUUACUGGGAUCAGGAACCUUGAUGCCACUUGUCUUCACUUUCAGUAUUUAGUACUUUUCCACUCCUAGCACUUUUCCCUCUUUCCCCUCCCAGCCCUUAGGCCCAUAAAAUGGCUGGAGCCUUUUAUUUAGGUUUCUCAUAGUAGCGAGAUGAUCCCCAUAUCUUUGCUGAUUGUUUUGACACUUGUUUGACUCUGUUCCAUGGGUAAGAAUGUAACACUGCAGGAGCCAGCAGUUUUUCCUGCUGAGCCUCUUGCUAAUGCUACUGCUGAUCUAAGGCUUGACUGAUACCUUAUCAUUUUGGCAUGUUUUAACUGACCACCACGACACCUGGCAGCUCAGUUCUUUCUGCAUCAGCUUAGUUCUUAACACCACCUUCUUCUCCUACUUCAUAAGUGUCUUGGCUGUUCCUGGUUCUUUGCAUUUACAUAUAAAUUUUAGGAUCAGCUGUCAAAUUUGACCCACUCCCUUCUAAAAAAUUAUUGGGAUUUUGAUUGAGAGUGUAUUGAAUCUAUAGAUUAUUGGGGAGAAUCAACAUUCUUACAUGAAUUUUCUAAUUCAUGAACAUGGUAUAGCAUUCCAUUUCUUUAGGGUCUUAAUUUUUCCCAAUAAUAUUUUAUGGUUUUCUGUGUCGGUCUUGAUCAUCUUUAUUAGAUUUAUUUCUAGACAUCUGACAUUUCUUCCAUGUAAUUGUUAGUAGUGUCAUUUUUAAAAAUUUACUUUCUGUUUACAGAGACUUAGCAUUGAUUUUUAUAUAUUGACUUUGUAGCCAGCAUUCUAAUAACAUAUAGAUAUUUUAGGUCUUUACAUAUACCAUUCGCAAAUGAUGACAGUUGUAUUUCUUCCUUUCAAAUCUUUAUACUUUUUUUCCCUCUUAUUACAUUAGUAUGACAUCUACUACCAUGAUAAAAAGAAGUGGUAAUAGCUGGCAUCUUUGUCUGGAAGGCCUGCUGUGACCUUAACUGUAGGUUCCUUUCUCCAGUGACUCAUCUUGAGAUUACCCUUCUCUCAUACCUCCAACAUUUUUGAGACUUGGAUAUUCCAAGCCUGUGCUAACCAUUCACUUCUUUGGCUACACUCAGCAGAAGAGAAAUAGAAAGCUGCCAACCUCUUAGACUCAAACGAAAUCAUUUUCCCAUUUGUUACCCUCAGAAAUUGGCUCUUUCCAUCCACAGGUUCCACAUCCAUGGAUUCAACCAACUGUGUAUUGUCAGUAUUCAAAAAAAUAAUAAAGUAAAAAUAAACAAACAAAUAAAUAAAUAAAAGUUAUCUUGAUCCUGAUCUUCAG